RNAcentral lists this ribosomal RNA (484 nucleotides) under uncultured bacterium. RNAcentral describes it as "partial 16S ribosomal RNA". It matches the Rfam family "Bacterial small subunit ribosomal RNA", at positions 30 to 507 of the family's 1533-position model. The record is from RNAcentral.
AUUGAACGCUGGCGGAAUGCUUUACACAUGCAAGUCGAACGGCAGCACGGGGGCAACCCUGGUGGCGAGUGGCGAACGGGUGAGUAAUACAUCGGAACGUGCCCGGUCGUGGGGGAUAACGUAGCGAAAGUUACGCUAAUACCGCAUACGAUCUGAGGAUGAAAGCGGGGGACCUUCGGGCCUCGCGCGAUCGGAGCGGCCGAUGUCAGAUUAGGUAGUUGGUGGGGUAAAGGCCUACCAAGCCGACGAUCUGUAGCUGGUCUGAGAGGACGACCAGCCACACUGGGACUGAGACACGGCCCAGACUCCUACGGGAGGCAGCAGUGGGGAAUUUUGGACAAUGGACGCAAGCCUGAUCCAGCCAUUCCGCGUGCAGGACGAAGGCCUUCGGGUUGUAAACUGCUUUUGUAUGGAACGAAAAGGCUCUGGCUAAUACCUGGGGCUCAUGACGGUACCGGAAGAAUAAGCACCGGCUAACUACGUG